UUUUUGGCAUUUAUGCCACAAUAUUUUUACACCAUAAAAGAACUUUGCAAUCAUACUUAAUAUACUGCACUUAUACUCUGAAAAUUAAUUAAAUUGCUCUCAUGUUGAUAAAAUACUUAAUAUAUUGGGCAAAAGAUCUUAAAUGAACAAGCUUUCAUACUUAUUAUUGAAGAGAGGUUAGAUUUUCAUUCGUGCUUUCUUUGAAU
RNAcentral lists this long non-coding RNA (206 nucleotides) under Phoenix dactylifera (date palm). RNAcentral's name for it is "long non-coding RNA (PDAC_LNC020433)". The record is from RNAcentral. Lineage: Eukaryota; Viridiplantae; Streptophyta; Magnoliopsida; Arecales; Arecaceae.